This 200-nucleotide ribosomal RNA is filed under the name uncultured bacterium. RNAcentral describes it as "partial 16S ribosomal RNA". It matches the Rfam family "Bacterial small subunit ribosomal RNA", at positions 524 to 723 of the family's 1533-position model. The record is from RNAcentral.
UACGAAGGGGGCUAGCGUUGUUCGGAAUUACUGGGCGUAAAGCGCACGUAGGCGGAUUGGAAAGUUGAGGGUGAAAUCCCAGGGCUCAACCCUGGAACUGCCUUCAAAACUUCUAGUCUUGAGGUCAGGAGAGGCGAGUGGAAUACCGAGUGUAGAGGUGAAAUUCGUAGAUAUUCGGUGGAACACCAGUGGCGAAGGCG